AUCGACGUACUUCAGUAUGUAACCGCACUAUAUGGUGGCUUCCAUAACCAAACCAAUUAUCCAACCAUUCAAUUUCCAGAGUUUCAUUAACUAACACCCUCUACAGUAGGAUCAUUUCUAUAGGAAUCGUCACUCUUUGACUCUUCAUAAGAGCCACUGAAUCCAACUUGGUUGAUGAGCGACGAAGCCCUUGUGCCCUAGAGUGAGAACCGAUGUCGCUUGGUCCACAACCCUAAGCGGUUUGGCCAUCGCAUUUUUUGCCUCUUCACAACCUUUUCAAUUUCGAUUGCUAGGGUUUCUCAGGCGCGAUGAUCUUUGCCCUUUCUUAGAUACUUCCUGGAAGCGUCGAGUUUGGGCGGGCGCAAGUGGCAGUCUGAC
Molecule: small nucleolar RNA, 378 nt
Organism: Zygosaccharomyces rouxii
Lineage: Eukaryota; Fungi; Ascomycota; Saccharomycetes; Saccharomycetales; Saccharomycetaceae
Source: RefSeq, a predicted model, not a curated record